GCAUAUACCGUAAAAGCUUUUUUAAUGCUAGCACGAAUGCUCCGCUCCACUCAAGUUUUAUUGGUAACACAAAAUAGCAAAUUUAAAAAAAAAAAAAAAACAACAAAGCAAUAGUACUUUUACGAUUUUUCAAAUGGCGAAGUAAACAAAGGGUAUUAUGACCAAUCAAUCAGCAUAAGCAGCAAUUUUGUCCAUUAUCUCUGCAACAAUCUCUUUAGACUCCCUCAGCAACUUGAUGCUUCCAUUCAAUCUGUAACGUUUACCAGCAAUAGGUGGAGAUUCCUCCAGCAUCCGUUCCAAUGCACCCCGUGAGUUCCCAUUAACUCAUUCACCAUUUCGGUUUCCAUGUCUUUGUUCACCAGAUUUUGGAUGCUGAAGAGUAAAUGCAAAGCCAUGCUAUCAACCAACCUCCUCAGGACAAUCUUCCAAUAAGCAGUCAUCCUCAUUUUCAGAUCAAAAGCUUCUUGUGCAACGACCAGAUGAUUUCUCAGAUGCCCGACUUCAACCUCACCAAUUCCAUUAAUCUCUAGAGUUGUUGAUUUCGUACAAUCAUUACAACGAUCAUUGAUAAUGUCCAUGAACCUGUCCUGGCUUUCCAUCAGAUCAUGCCAGGUUGCAGAGUACUCAGGAUUACAAGUAUAAUCGGUGAGUUUCUCCAUUUCGAUGAUCUGCGAUACCCAAUCAGCUGACUGCUCCCUUUUUUUGGAAACAAGAUUUUGGGCUGCUCUUCUGAUUGAAGGUUGAAGUUGUGGGUAGUUGUCAGAGUGCUUCAUCAAGACAGGAACUAACACCCCUUGUAAAUACUCCCAAAACUUGUUCACAAUCCAGCGGGUGUAGCGGAAAUGGCCAUGACCAUUUUUUGUAGUGAAGUGCGAAAUGCUUUGCGAGGAAGGAAAUUAGGUAAGCUUAUACCUUUUGCUCCUCCAGGAUGCUAAUCUCUUCCUCCAAGAAGGCCUGCUUUUGUUCAACUUUGAUAGAGAUUAACUGCAAAUCCUCAUAGUAAUCGCUCAGCAUCUCUGCCAGUCUAGCAGUACAAUGCAUUUCCUUUUCAUCUGGAUACUCAUCGAAUUCCCCUCUGAUAAAUAUUUUCCUCAGGGACUCUUUGGCUGAAGAAAUGAUGCGCAUAAAAGCAGUGACUGCUUCAGGAACCGAUUUCAACUGUUGUGGCAACUUGUUCAGCUCUGCAACACUUGUACUUAGCUUGUCAUUGAUCUUUCUCACAAUAUCUGGCAAGCAUUUUGAAAUUAUAGUUGCCUGAAUUUGCACCAGUUUCUGGGCUAAAACAGGAAUGCCAACCAUAGACUUGUGGAUCUUGGACAGCAACGGAUGUGUUUCGAAAAGCGUAGCUUCUACAGCUUGAGCUUCCUCGUAUGAUUCAUCACCAAUUCGAUUUCUCACACAGACGUAUCCAAGUCCAAUAUUCACAUCAUCAGCCAUUACCUUCUCGAGCAAGCCUUCAGGGGAUUUGUCUGCCUUGGUGACAACUGCCAGAGUUCUUUCGCCCAUUUUGUCGAAUUUUUGGGACAUCCGAAUUGAUUCACAAGUUGAAAAAUCAACAGUAGCUGAUAAAACAUUGAGUAUUAUGCUUUCUUCUGGUUUAAUAUACUCCAUAAUGAUUGCUGAUAUUUGCUCAUAGAUGUCUUCAGGCUGCCCGUGAACUGGAACUCUAGUAAUCCCAGGUAAAUCCACCAUAGUAAGAUCAGGGACCCCAUUCUUCUUAACAAUCAAAGUCAGGGGAACCUUUGAUAUUCCCUUGCUUCUGCCGGCAAUCUCAUCAGUUGCAACGCUGAUGGCCUCAGCAAUAUGGUCCUCAUUGGUUGGAACAACUCUUCCGUUGAACUCCAAGCUCAGCUCUGGCUCGGGACUGGGAUGACUUUGCAGCCUCAUAAUCAAGGGAACCCUUGUGCAUAUCCCUUGUCCCCUAGGCAAGCUAAUUCCAGCCAAGGACUCUAGAACGCUGGACUUACCUGAAGAUUGAUCUCCUACAACAACAAUUGUUGGAAGCUGGAUUCCUUCUUGCAUGACUUUAAGGUUUCGUAGCCUGUCUAUGCAGUCCAGCAAUGGCCUAAUGCGUUCAUUGUAGGAUGACACGAUGGGGGCUUGGAUUGCUUGCAUUUCUUCUUGAUCAUGAACAGCUUGAACGAGGUCUUUGGUGAUUCCUUCAGAAACAACAUUGGAGCCGUCUCUUAGUACACUCAUGUUUAAUUUGUCGUGGUUGUUGGUUUUGAGUGUUUCUAUUAUAUUGUCGUAGGUAAAAAGAUUGGGAACUUGGAAGGGAGAAAGGAGAUGAAAGAGCAAGAGAUUUUCAGGUUUGGUGAAAGCAAAUUUGGAUUUGUGAUAAUUUAUAGGUGAUUUUUAUGUCGAUCUCAAUACCAUCUCUUUUCUUGGAAGAAAUAAGGUGUUCCAAGAAUUGAGAUAGAAAUACGAAAUCUAUGAAAAAGUUAAAUGAUCAACCAAGCAAAACAAUAGCAUCUUUUGAAGUAGUUAACUCCAAGGUAAAUCAGCACAGAUUCCUUAACUCGCUCUGCAGAGUGGAAAGCUGAUGCUUGACUUGCUUUUCUCUCCUUUGCCAACUGGAAAGUAAAGUUCAUCGAAAAUCAGCUAUAACCCUUCGAUUGAUCAGCAGACUAAUUAGCGGUGUAAGAUAGAAUUACUUUGUUACACCAAAAUAAAUCGUGACAAUCAAAAGACUUGGGAGGUCAUUAAAUUGCUCUUUUCCUUCAACUUUACGUCAUACUUGUGCUUCACCAUUGGCGUCAUGUUAUGACCUGAUUCCGGAAUGAAGAAAGGAAUUGACGUGGGGUUUAGGAAAGAGAGAAAAUUUAGAAAUUAGGGAGAAUGAGAAGAGCUUAUUGAUUUCAUCUUCCAGAAUGAAUCAGUAGUACACGGGAGUAGCUUAUUUAUCGAGCUUCAAGUCACUUCUUGUAACAGAAUAACUACUUGCUACUACUAGCGUGUUAAGCUGUAACUUCGCUAACUACUUCUAGCACGUGGCUGUGACAUGAGGAUACAGCAAAAAUAUAGCAUUAUUGGAUUAAUUAUACAAGGCAUAACAUUGCUCCCCCUUAAGAAUCCGAGUCCCUAGGAUUAAAAUCUGGAAAUUGUCCCUUGAGCACAAUCCAAUCUUACCACGUUGCUUCUGCAGGAGACAUGUUCACCCAAUCCGCAGUACUUGAGUGACUGCAGAAUUUCCUCUCUUUAUCAUUCUUCUAUCCAAGGUGGCUUGAGGCCACUUUCACAGUGCCAUCAUCUAUAACUUGAGGCAAACUACCACUCACGGAUACACCCUUAGCAACUUUUUUAACAUAGAUACAUGGAAUACAGGAUGAAUGGGAGCAUCUGCUGGUAACUCCAGUUUAUAAGCUCCAACCUUCUGUAAAAUUUUAGAAGGUCCAUAGUUUUGGAUGAAAGCUUCAGAUUUCUUCUAAGUGCUAUAGAGCUUUGUCUGUAUGGUUGAAGCUUCAAGUACACCCCAUCUCCUACUUCAAAACUUCUCUUAUCUGCAUUCUGCUUCAUCUAUUCUGAGCUACCUCUAGAUUUUCUUUCAACAAUCUAUCCCAAUCUUGUCUUCCCUUCACCCAAUUUGUAGCUAUUGAGGAGUUUUCCGCAGAUGGCAACAAGCUAAUUUGAGGGGAGGAUAACCAUAAAGAGCCAUGAAAGGAGUCAUCUAUAAAGCCGAGUGGUAAUUGGUGUUAUACCACCACUCAGCUGCAGUCAACCUCUGUCUCCAUUUGGUGGUUGCUGGAAGGUCAUGCAUCUUAGAUAGGUCUCUAAGCACCUAUUCAAUCUUUCUAUCUACCCGUCAGACUGUGGAUGGUAAGUAGAUGGUAGGUAUAACUCGGUACCCACCUUUUAAGAAUAAGUCCUGCCAAAAAGCACUAGUAAAAACCUUGUCUCUAUCUGAGACUAUGCUAAGAGGUAGGCCAUGUAGUUUGUAAACAUGAUUAAAGAACAACUGAGCUACAUCUUGAGCUGUGUAAUUGCUGGUAGGGAUAUGAAAUGUCCAUAUUUGGUGAAUCUGUCAAUGACCGCCAUAAUGGUAUCAUGCCCCUUAGAUUUGGGAGCCCUUCUAUAAAAUCCAUGGAGAUAUGCUGCCACGCUUGUUUAGGUAUUAGUAAGGGUUGUAGUAGUCCCAGAUAUUUUCCUAAUUCUGCUUUACUCUUUUUACAAGUGUCACAGCCUGCACCAUUUGUUCCACAUCUCUUUUCAUUCCCAGCCAGUAAAAAUACAGCUUCAUUCUAUGAUAGGUACCACUAUUACCGAAAUGACCACCAACUAGAGAAUCAUGCAUGCAUUCCAUCAGCUUCCUUCUCAAAUCAGUAGCAUCCCCCACAAAAAUUCUACCCUUGAACCUGAUGAUACCAUGGUCAUAAGUAUAAUCUGUAAGAGAGUCUCCAUUAGUGGACAGAUUUCAACAAUUCCUUAGCUUUAGCAUCUCCAUUGUCGCUUUGAGUAACUUCCUGGAGCCAUGCAGGCGUCACUAUUGAUAUUGCAUUCAAUUCAUUUUGCUCAUUUUCACCCCUUCUGGACAAGGCAUCAGCAACAAUAGUGUCCCUUCCUUUCUUGUAUUGAAUCUCAUAAUCCAUUCCCAUCAGUUUAGAGAGCCAUUUUUGUUGUAAGGGAGUAGUGAUUCUCUGGUCUAGCAGAUACUUGAGACUUUCAUGGUCAGUCUUAAUUACAAUAUGUGCUCCCAUCAAGUAAUGCCUCCACUUGGUCACUGCUACAAUUAGGGAUAGUAGCUCCUUCUCAUAUAUUGACAUCCCUAGAUUUUUAUUUGCUAGUACCUGACUCAUAUAUGCUAUUGGUCUUCCUUGUUGUAUCAACACAGCUCCUAGAGCUUUGGCUGGCAUUAGUCUCUAGGAUAAAGGUUUAGUAAAGUCCGGUAAUGCUAAUAUAGAACUCAUGACCUAUUUCAACUAGUAGAAAGCAUUCUCAGCUUCUGUACUCCACCAAAGGAAUCCUUUUCUAACAAAUCAGUCAAAGGUUUAGCUAUCAACCCAUAGCUCUUAACAAACCUUUGAUAAUACCUGGUCAACCCAAGAAAACCCCUUAAUGCUUUAACAACUCAGGACGUGGCUAGGAUACCAUGCUCUGUACCUUUGCGGGAUCAGUUACCACUCCGUCCUUGGUGACAAUGUGUCCCAAGUACUCAACCUAUGGCUAACCAAAAGUGCAUUUGGAGAGUUUGGCAUAAAGUUUAUGAUGUCUGAGAGUAUCCAGAACUUGUUUAAGGUGAAUAAGGUGGGUAGUCAAAUAUGGGCUAUAUACUAAGAUAUCAUCAAAGAAGACUAAUACGAAUUUUCUGAGAAAUUGAAUUCAUGAGUGCUUGAAAGGUUGCCGGGGCAUUAGUAAGCCCAAAUGGCAUAACGAGAAUUCAUACAAUCCAGUGUGAGCUCGAAAGACUGUUUUAGGUAUAUGAUUGGGAUGCAUUCUAAUCUGGUGAUAACCAGAUCUGAGAUCAAUUUUGGAAAAUAUUUUGGAACCAUGAAGCUCGUACAAGAGAUCAUCAAUGAUAGGGAUAGGAAAUUUGUCCUUAAUGGUGAUUUCUUUAGCUGUCUAUAAUCAAUACAAAACCUUCAGGUUUCAUCUUUUUUUCUAACUAGCAGGACGGGUGAAGCGAAAGGGCUAUGACUAGGCUGAAUAAUGCCAUUAAUAGAAUUUCUUGAACUUGUUUCUCAAUUUCAUUCUUCUAAAUGUGGGGAUAUCUAUAAGGAAUCAACUUGAAAGGUUUAGAAUCUGGUUUAAGGGGUAUCUCGUGAUCUAAUUGUCUAAUAGGGGGUAGGUGGAGAGUUCUCCAAACACAUCAGUACAAUAAGCCAGGAGUGCACUUAUGGAGUCAUCAGUGUGAGACGUUACCUUAGGAGUGUUAACUGCUAGAACACAGGGCUGUGUAGAGUUUCUUUCUUCUUGUAUCUCAUAAACUUUUGGACAGUUUUUCCUUCCUCAGUUUGAUGUCUGCCUUCUUAAAUCUCCUUGUAGCUUUAUUUCCCACCCCUCCUGAUUAAAGGAGAAUUGCAGAUGCUUGAAAUCAAAAGUUAUAGGACUAUGCUCUCUCAUCCAAUUAACCACCAAUACCAUAUCGUACGGCUCAAUUGCAAGCACAUAUCCAUCAUGAGUGAAUGUAUGCCCUUGUAUUUCUAAGGAUGAUCCGUGGAACCCAGCUACUACACUGUAGCAUCUGCCCAUUAGCCACUUGACUGCGAACAAUUUCCUUGGUACUACUAAUUGAGGAUUUUCCUCGAACACUGAAGCUUCAACAAAAGUGUGAGAACUUCCUCCAUCCCAAAAUAUUGAGAGUGGUUUGCCAUUAAAUUUCCCUUCAGUUUGAUAGUACCCUGCAGCAGCUCGCCAAUCAUAAAGUGGAUGGAAAAUACUACAUCUUUAUGACUAUUGGAAAGAGUUCGAUCGUACAUAGGUUGGCAAACAUGGCUGGCAUGAAAAAGUGAUACAGUAUAUGAAAUUUGACUUCAAAAGCUUGCCCUUGCUCUUUCACGGAUACGGGGCAGGGACGGUCAUCAGAAGGACCGUCCCUGAACAGUUCCCUAACAAACUCUAAUAAGAGGCCCUUAUGCAUCCAUGUUGAUAUAAAUAAAAUGCUCCCGUUUCACUUAGUGAGCAUAAAAAAAUUUAAAAAAAACUUGCCUUAGCCUAAUAGAUUCCACUACUGUCGAAACUUCGUUCCAAAAAAAUCCCGCCCAAAUUGAUUGGGCAUGACUAUCCAUUAAAACUCAAAGCCUAAUGCUCUCCCUCCAAAAAUCAAUCUCUUACUUUCCAUCCAAAAUUUGUCAAUAUAACUCCAUAACUCUAGAACUAGAGCAAAAUAACAUUCAAGAACAAGAAAAUUGCAGACGAGAGUGCCAAAGAAGAGCCAUGGAAAUGUACUAUCACCCAUCAAUCAUUACACUGAGGAGAAGAAGAACUACUUGCUGAAGGAAAAGGUGUUGGAGAUCUGAUAGUAGAAGGUGGUAGGAUUUGAGACAGAGAAACACCCAAUUGCAUCUGCAUAAACCCUUCAGGUAACAAUGUUGCAAACCAAUGACUUAAUUUCAUUUUUUGGUGAAUGGUGUCCAUCUAUUGUACUUGUAGUCUCAUGAAACCCUUUGAAUAGUAGAAGUUAAUUAGUUGAUGGACUGCACAAGAGAGGAGGGUAAAGAAAAAUUUUGCAUGCCAAAUGUUUGCAAAAUAGAAAAAAAAACUUUCAAACCAAUUAGUAGAAAGAGUUAUUACUAGGGGAUGUAUAUGAGAGUAUUUGUCUAGCAAUAACAACAUCAGAUCAACAAUAAAGUCAAGGUUAUAAAGAAACAAAAAAUUUCAAGUUAUAUUUUUCAUUUGUGUCGGUUGUAGGGACAUGUAAUGGUGUAGAUAGAAUUACUGGUGUUUAUGGGUAAUUACAACGAAAUAAAAUAGGAAGUACAUUAAGAAUAAUAGCAAGCAAAGUGAAUGAUUAUAAUGAAUUAUAAGAUGUUCCAGUGAGUAUGCCUUUACAUCAAUACUGGAUAGCAAAAUAAUAUUUGUAAUUAACUGGUGAUAGUGGAGAAACACUUUCAUGCAGUUGGAAAUUAAUAAUCACUUACACUAAAAUGUUCAAUUUGCUUAAAAAAGUCACAAUGAAGGGAAAAAGAAGGAAUAGAGGCCAACAAAAAGAGGAAAAUGCACACAUUAUUAACAUUAAUGAGUGGUAUUUCAUGUUUGAAGAUUAGUACUUAUUCAUAUAAGAACUGUCUAGUAAUUGAAGUGAAUUACUUUAAACUUAAUUGGUAUGAGUAUUUAAAAUCAUUUAUAUAUAUUAGAUUGAAUGUACAUACGGUUCAGUAUGCCUUAUGUAGUGCAAAAAUAUAAUUAUAAGAUGUCUUAGUAGUGUGCCUGUACAUCAUAUUAGAUAACUAUUAUUUUUUAUGAAUAAACAGUGACCGUGGAGAAAUACUUUCAUAUAGUUGUAAAUUAAUAAUCAAUUAAAAUAAUGCCCUGUUAAAGAAAGGUGUGAAGGUUUGACAAUAAAGGAAAAAAAAUAAAAGGAAAUGCACGCAUCAAAUAAUAAUGGUGGUCCCUGUUUCUUGUGGAUUGCUUCAAAGUUGAUUGGUAUUAAUGUAAAUUCUAAUUUUUAUGUGUUAGGUUGAAUGUACAUAUUGUUCAAUAUGCCUUACUUACUGGUAGAAAAUGGUUACAAGAUGGUUUAGUUAAUAUGCCUAUACAUCAUAUUGGAUAAGUAUUGUUAUUGGUGAACAAUUAGUGACAAUCGACAAAUACUUUUAUGUGGUUGUAAUUCAGCAAUGAAGUAACAGGAUGAUGUUGAAGCAAGAUCUACGGGAUUUAUAAUGAAAGGAAAAGAAAUAUAAGGAAGAGAAGCGAGGUGAAGUGUACACACUAUUAAUUUGACAAUUUAUUAUCGCAUGUUUGUUACUUGGUACUUAUUUGUACAUUCCUAGUCUAUGGGAUUAAGCUUGAUUGGAUAAGUGUAGGAUGUAAUAUGUAUGUAUUAGGCUAAAUGUACUCAAUGUUCAAUAUGCCUUACUCAGAUUUGAAUCUAGUAUAUCAUAUUUAGUUGUGAUUUUAUAACGUCAUAUGAAUGCCAGGAAAAAAAAGGAAGCAGGGCAGGGACGGUUAAUAGAGAUCAAUCGUCCCUGAACAAUGUAAUAUUUUUUGAAUAUUUUGUAACUCUAUGUAAAUUUCUUGUACAUCCUUACAACAGAAAUGUGAUAUUUGGUUACUGUUCGUAUAAGUCCUAUAUAUAAUAAUUGUGUUUUUGUUGUUAAAUUUUUAUAAGUUGUUCACAUAAAGUUCCGUUUUGUUUAAAAAAUGUUAUUUUGUUCAGAACGGUUGUUUUGAACAAAGUAAGUAGCCUUUACAAUUUGCAUGAGCAGUGGCAAGAUAGCACGGAAAAAGACAAAGAAGAAUCCAAGAGAAAAGGAAGAAAUAUAAAUAGGGGAACUACCAAACUUGCAGAACCAAUCCCAUCAUUUAUAAUUAGAAAGGAAAAGAAGAAACCAACUUGAGAAGAAGAAAUGAAGCAAGCGAACUCAGCUAAUAGCAUUGUAUAACAGCAUUGAUGGCAGACAACCUAAGGUUCCAUCUAAAUCACUUAAUACGUAAGUGGCUAGUGUUUGUCUCUUGCAACAUCUAUAGAACUCAAUACGUGAGCUUGAUGAUAAUUAUGCGCAACAUGCAAUGGGAAGCAGUCAGGGAAAGAAGAAAAAAAAAUGAAGGUAAAACAUCUUGUUCAGAUUGCCUUUUUUAGUGUGGAAAAAUGGUUACCAGUUAUGUUAAUUAGUAUGCAUACAUCGUGUUAGAUAACUAUUACAUUUUGUGAUAGAAUAGUGAUAGUGAAAAAAAUACUUUGACAUGGUUGUAAAUACACACUUAACUAGUAUAAUGAUAUUAAAUAAAGUCCUAGAAAUUGAUAAUGGAACCCUUGUGAGGAAAGAAAUAGAGACAUAAGUUUACUCUUGUUUGUAAGUUGAAACCCCAAUUAAUUGUGGCAGAUCAAUAAUUGAAACCCACAGUAUGAAAAUUGAUUGGCAUGAAUCUUGGUUCUAAUGCCUAUAUGUUAGGUUGAAUGUACUUGUUGUUCAAAAUGUCUUGCACAUAAUUGAAUCUACCAUAUCAUUACUUUAUCUUGAUUUAGGAAUGUCAGGAAAAAACCUUAUUAACAUGAAAACAACUACAUAGCUAUACCUUCACAGAAAAAUGCAAAUAUUAACUAUACCAAAGUUCUAGAAUACAUUCCAACUCAUUUAGCUAUUUUUCACUAUGCUAUUUCCAAUCUACUUUUUAUAGAUAUGCACAAUCAAGUAACUAACACCUCAUUGAUUAUACCUCAUAGAUCAUGUACAUUUUCAUAAGCUGAUUAAUGCAGAUAUUAACAAACAUUAGUAAUUGUUUACUCUUGUUUAUAUUUUGAAACCUCGACUAACUGUAGUAAUCCAGUAAUUGAAGCCUACAGUAUGAGAAUUGAUUGGCAUGAGUCUUGGUUCUAAUGCCUAUAUAUUAGGUUGAAUGCACUUGUUGUUCAAAAUGUCUUACUCAUAAUUGCAUCUGCUAUAUCAUUUUUAGAACUACUUUAUCUUGAUUUAGGAAUGUUGGGAGAAAAUCUUAUGUAAUUGUUUAUCAAAAAGUUGGUGCAGAUGGCAUAUAAGAGAUUGAGAAGUUUGAUUAAGAAAGCAUCUAGAGAAGAAAAAAGUGAAAAAUUAGAUAAUAGCGAACUUGAAGCAUCAUCAAAAUCCUUGAAUAUGUAAGUUUGUCAAUGCUUUUAUGUUGCACCAGUAUGUUGGUAGGAUAGUGAGACGUGAUUUUUUUCUUUUUCUUUUUCAACAAACGAUAAUAGCUUUAUAAAUAUUAACACUUGAUAAUACAAGAAUUACUUACAAAAGGGGCAACUUGGAAAGUCACUUUCCCAAUCUAUGUCAUUAACUAGCUUUGAUGCAAAAAGUGCUAGCCUAUGACUUGCUAUAUUUGGUGUUCUAGGUACCUAAGAUAUUGUGCAAUGGUCAAAAUCUAGUGUUAGGUCCGCAAUGUCUUCCAAGAUGUUUGCUAGAGUUCCAUCUUGUACAUUGUUGCAUCUGAUGUUGUUUGUGUCUAUGAGACGUGAUUAUUUGAUUGAUUGCAAUUAAGAGUUGUUGAAUCUUAGUCAAAUUGAUAUGUGUUGAACAAAGUAAAUAACCUUUACAAUUUGCAUGAGCGGUGGCAAGAUGGCACGGAAAAUGGCAAAGAAGAAUCCAUGUGAAAUGGAAGAAAUAUGAAUGAGCUUGCAGAACCAAUCCCACCAUUUAUAAUUAGAAAGAGAAAAAGAAAUCAACUUAAGAAGAAAAAUGGAAAAAGUGAAACUAGAUUAACAGCAUUGUAUAACUCUUUUACUUUCUUUUUAUACAUUUUAGUUACUACAAUAUUUGUAAAUUUUGUAUUUCAAUUUAUAGAAAAUGUUAUGUAGUGAUAGGUAAGAAUCCUUGUAGAUAUCAUUGUAAUCAUCAUAGAUUUUUGUUCAAUUUGUAAAUUUGUUUGAAGCAUUAUAUAUAUCUAUUAGAAUUGUUGUAUAUAUUGUUAUGACUAGAUUGUACAUUUGGUUGAUUUUUAUAUGCAUCAUACUUAAUAAAGUUAAGGAUAUUUGUUCAAAGAGCAAUUAAAUGAUAGAAGGAUGCCAAAAUUGACAUCCCAACUGUGUUUCUAAGGUUUUUAGUUUGGAGUUUGACAAAAAUGGAAACGAGUGACACUAUGAUUGGGUGUUACAAAUUUGUUGAUAAAAAUCAAAACGUGUACACUCCACAGAAAAAUGCUAAUAUCAACUACACCAAAGUUUCUAGAAUACAUUCUAACUCACGUAGCUACUUUUUAUUGCAUUAUAUCUAAUUUUUCUUUUAUAAAUAUAUAUAUUCAAGUGACUAACACCUAACAUGAUGUACAUUUUUAUAAACUAAUUGUAACUCAUAAAUCACUCCGUGUAAAGUGCUCACAGAUAAAUUAGUACUACUCAUACAAGUAAAAUUAUGCAUCAAUUAUAGGGAGAUGCACAAGUUGAUCAAAUGGUCAAUAACCAUUUCAAAGUUAUGCUUACCAUUGCACUACCUUUCAUAGAUAUAUACAGAUAAGUAACUAAUAUCUAACAUGAUGUACAUUUUUGUAAACUGAUUGUAUCUCAUAAAUCACCUCGUAUAAGUUGCUUAUAGGUAAAUUAGUAUUAGUUAUACAAAUUAAAUUACACACCUACUGCAGCCUGCAAGAAGAUGCACAAGUGGGUCAAAGCACUAAUAAUCAUUCCAAGUGUAUGCGUACCAUUGCACUAUGCAUGUGGCUGCGAUGACUAAUUGCAAUACGCAUGAGUAAUUACUACUUUUUAAGAUUGUCAUAUAUUGACAACUAAAAUUUUACCUAAAUCCACUACUUUCAUAAUAGUGGUAAAUAACUAGUUAAAUUUUUGUUCAAUCAAAAUGUAUGUAACUUAUAAGUAACCAAAUGUAACUAAUUUUCACUAAUUUGUGAAACAAAUUUUUUUUUUGAACAUAUCAUAAAAUGGACUAAAUAGUUUGUAAGGCAUUAGCAAUGGAAAGUCAGUAAAUACUAACAUGAGAUACAACAUCGACAUGUAACUAAUUAACAAUAAAAAGUAAAUUUUUUUUUGCUAAUUGAUAGAAUAGAGUUAUUGCUUUGAAUAUAUUGUAAAAUAGAUUGAGCUAACCAUAAAAGAUUAAUAACAAAUAGUACUUAAAUAUUAACUAAAUAUACAACACUGAUAAACAGAAUCUAAAAUUAAUAAUUUAACUUUUUUUUCCGCUAAUACAUUGUAAAAUGGAUUGAACAUAUGGUAAUGCAUUAAAAACUAAUUGUAAGUACAUUCUAACUAGUAUUACAAGUCUAGCUUAAUGAACUGUCUAAUUGUCCAAUCUAAUUUCUUUACUCCACCAGCAUUGAUUGAUAUCCAUUGAUUUGUCAAAAGAAACUAUCUUUGCCCAUGAUAUACUGCAAAAUAAAAUUAAUAAGAUAUAAUGUGUUAGCAAUUACAUACAAGGUAUAGUUAAUCAGAUCCCAAUUUAUACGCCUAUAUGAACUCUAUGAACCAAUAAACAACUAUAUAGUAAAUUCAUUCUUACAUUAUGUGUAUGUAUGUGACAGUGUCUAUGGGUUAACAACCAAUUACAAAUUCAAACAAUAGAUUAACUUUUGUAAAUUUAUGGCCAUAUAAGCAUACAUAAGAUAUAGUACUACUCCGUACCUACUAAUAACGUGUACACUCUACAGAAAAAUGCUAAUAUCAACUAUACCAAAGUUUGUGAAAUACAUUCCAACUCAUGUAACUACUUUUUGUUGCGCUAUAUCUAAUCUCCCUUUUACAAAUAUACAUAGUCAAGUAAUUAACACCUAACAUGAUGUACUUUUGAAAACUGAUUGUACCUUAUAAAUGAUCUCGUGUAAGCUACUCAUAGACAAACAAGUAUGACUCGUACAAUUAAAUUUACAUAUCCAUUAUAGGGAGAUGCCCAAGUUGAUCAAAGGGCCAAUAACCAUUUCAAAUUUAUGCGUACCAUUGCACUACCUUUCAUAGAUAUACAUAAUCAAAUAACUAACAUCUAACAUAAUGUACAUUUUAGUAAACUGAUUGUAUCUCAUAGAUCACCCCGUGUACGGUGCUUAUAGGCAAAUGAGUAUUAGUCAUACAAAUAAAAUUACACAACCACUGCAGCCUGCAAGGAGAUGCACAAGUGAGUCAAAACACUAAUAACCAUUUCAAUUGUAUGCAUACUACUACACUAUGCAUAUGGUUGUGAUGACUAAUUGAAAGAUGCAUGUGGACAAAUAACUGUAUGUUUCAACAAUUUCUAUGCAUCAUACUUAGUCAGUAACACAGUGUACAUUAUUUCAACCAGAUUGUACAUUUACUAAAUAUUUAUAUAUAUACAUGCUACUUAUUGAAGUAAACUACCUAUCUACUAAAUAUUUAAUGCAUUCUCAUAAGCACUAAUGGUCAAUUUAAUAGGUGAUUGGAACAAAUAACCAUCUAGUAAAAACUUUUGAUAUAAUGUUAUUGAUGAAUAACAUACCAUACAUUCUGAUAAACAUGGUGUACAUCACGCACCUUAUCUAGACAAAAUCCUACAAGUUAUCAAAAGUCAUGCCAUACUUUAAAAGCAAUUACAAGUAGCAAAAUUUAUACAUGUACAGUCAUAUCAAUAGAUUGUAACUUUUAGCUUGCUUUCUAUAUAUUCAUACAAAUACAAGAAUUGUAUAAUACAUAACUCUUGCUUUAUAACAUAAUUUUCCUAACUAUACUUAACAUUUUCCCCUAGUUGUGUGAAGCUUAAACUUCUUUAUCAAUCUAAUGACUUGGUUAUUUUCAGAGUUACUAAUCGACCUAUGAAUAACCAAAAUUAAGGAUAAGGGUUAGUAGAAUUACCUUCGUCUACCUCUACCAUUGUUUUUCAACCUUACUUCGCCAUCCGGAAUAGUGGUGUAUGUACUCAGUUCUAUUUUGCUACCCAAUAUUUGCUUCAGGAUCGAAAUUGCGAGGCAUUAAUACCUGUUGCAUCUGUCUUCUUUACCCUUAAUCGUCAACAGAUCUCCUCUAUAAUGAUGAAACACUACUAUAGCCUGUUUCUUCAGUUUGAAUAGCCCUUAUCCAUCAAGCACAUAUCCCUCACAACACGUUACUUCUCCAGCUUUAACAAAGAAGGAGAAGGUUAUCUCUCAGUAAUUUUCUCAUCCCCAGUUAGAGAGAGAAAUUAGUUUCCUUGAAGAUAAAUAUGAUGUUGAAUUUUCAAUUCCCGAUUAGAAAGAUAAAGUUGUUUUCUUCAACAUUGUGUUAAAUAGUGACUUUCCCAAUUUUAAGUUGAAGCUAACUAUCAAAUUCAAAAUUUCAUUUCAAAAUUCAAACUUUUGAAAGUUCCGUUUAGUUUAACCCAGUCCGUUAAGAUAAGCCAAGUCAAAUUUUUUUUUUUUUAGAUUUUACUAAUUGGAACGAUAACACUUUUGCUUCUCUUGUGAUCCUUGGCUGUGUGGCUCUUUUUCAGCCACAUAUUUAGGCUUGUGAGGACCGUCCCUGCCCCAUAUGGAUGAGAGGCAGGAGCAGUCAUCAGAUGGACCGCUCCUGAACUGUUAAGGGCCAAGAUUUGGCUAUAAAAAAUUGUAAGGUCCAUAUCACUUCUUGUACAUCGAUUUUCACAACGUGUGUGGAGCCCACAAAAUUUUAUUCUAAAAUUACACAUUGUGCAAAUAAAGUUAUACUUGUGCAAACAAAGUUACGUGGUAUGUAAAAUGCAUAAAACCGCGAAGAACAGUUGCAACCGGCAACCGUUCCUGCCCGUGGUCCACCCUAUAUCCGCUCUUUCGCCCUACUGUCCAAAGUAGCUAUAACACCUUUUAGGGGGGAAAUUAAUUACGGAAGGAAAAGAUGAAUGGAAAAUUGAACUUUCAAAUGCAACUAUUGUUAAGGGUUAGAGGCACUGAGCACCCUAACUUGGAGAUAUUUUCACAUUUUUCUUUAACGUUAUUUUUGUUGUAUUUUGCCCCUUCUAUUAAGUCACAUCAACUUUUGUCAUUAAAAAGAAAAGGUCAAAAGUUUCAAUCUUGCCCUUAUCUCCAUUUCCCUUCAUUUUUUUCCUUGUCUAAGUUUCUCAUUUCACACCUUUUUCGUAGGUGUAAUUUCCUUUUUUUUUUUUGAAAAUUAAGAACUAUGUUUCCAAAAUAUUUCACUUCUAUUUUUUUUUAAAAAAAUCUACCAAUAUUAAGCAAACAGAAAACUUUGCUAUUGUUAAAAAUAUUGCACAUUUAUUAUGAACAUCAAUAAAUGGAGGUAAGAUACAAUUGUGGUAAGAUAUCUCUCAAACACGUGUUAGUGAAAAUAUAAAAAUUUUGACAAAAAAUUUUCUUGUUAAAAUUACAUAGCAUUAUUUUUUGGUAUCUAUUUUAUGAUUUUUGUUGUACAUGAAAUGAUUUUAUUUUAAAUUUUACAAUAGAUUUCAAUGGCAUGUAAUUUUUUAAAAAGGGGUUGGAACUCGUUUUAAGGAAAUUCUUCCGAAACAAAAGGAUCGGAUCUUUUUUUCAAGCAUCAUUUCUUCACUAAUUUUUACUUUGAAAUCAUUAAUUUCUUUUUUGAUAAACUGUUAUUGUCGACCAUUAGUUAAAGGGAAAAAGUACAAUAAAAAUAAUGUUAGGAAAAAAAGUGCAAAUGGCAACAAACUUUAGGAGGCUAAGUGCCUUUAACCCUAAGAUUAAUUCUAGUGUUUGAUACUGCUUUGUCUGUGACAGCCCCACCUCCCACUAAAGCGAACCAAAGGGUUCGGCGGACCGCUUGUCCAACUCUCGCAGGGACUCAGUCGUUCACUUCAAUUCUUAAUCAAAACCAGAAUAAAAUCACAGGAAUAAACAUAACAACGAUCCAAAACUUAAAGCAAAACUUAUAUACAUUGCUAUCUCAAAAGGGAGUACAAAUAUCGAAUAUACAAAAGUUAUCAAUUCUUCAUACAUCCAACCCGUGCCAAGCGCUUGGGCGAGAACCAUUACAAAAUCAGAGAUCCAGCCUAAGCUAGUCUAUACAAAACUCCUGUCCUGGUUCGCCUUCCCCUGUUAAGGAAAACGAAACUAAAGGAAUGAGUUAAAAGUUCAGUGAGGUUCCGAACACAUAAUCAAACAGUCAAUUCAAUACAUUAAACAUAGAAUAUCAAUAUUUCACGAUAAUAACACAUUCAUUAAAAGAAUACGGGCUCACAAGGAGCCAUUCAUUCGUUCGUUCAUUCAUUCUCCUAUCAUUCCCCUUAUUCCUCCAAUCAUUUGAAAAUGCGUUUUUGUAAGUAAAACCCUCGUUCGUUCAUUCGUUUCAUUCACCCCCUUCUUGGACGUUGUCCAGGCUCCACCAGAAUUCAAGGUAAUACUCGAGUAUACCAAACGUUCACACCCAGGGUUACCAUAUCGCCCGAUCGAGUCCGCUUCUGGCCCGAGUCGAUCGGUAACAAAGCGUAGGGUCCAGUUCAGCCAAAAGGCUUACAUCAUGCACAUGUAACAUUUCAAUCAUUAAAUCAUUGAAAAUUUCACAUUUUAUUUAGGUCGAGCGCGAUAAAGUACACACUCACCUAAAAAACUCGUUUUGAAAAUCCUGAAAAGCACUUAACACAUUGUCAAACAAUAACACAAGUUAUGAAGUCAAGAAAAAUAUAGCAAACAAGGAACACUCACCUAUUUAUGCAAAAUAACGUGCAAAAUAUCCUUCCGGGUCUUACCCUUAGUCAUCGAGAAAACCUAAAAUUAAACGAGAAAGAAUAUUACAGUUUAUCUAGCAAAACAAUUAUGUGAAAUCGAGAAAACCCGACUAAUUACGAGUAAAACGUAUAAAGAUGACCUUCAAGUGAAAAGCGGGUAUUUGGAUCUGUGGACAGAAAUAACUAGGGUUUCAUAAACCAAACUUAAAACUAAACUCAAAAGGGUUAUAAAAUUUCUAACGGAAAACACUUGGACCAAAGACAAAUCGGAAUCCAACUAGAUAAACUAAAGAAAUAUGUUUUUUUUUGAAUCAUUUGGGUAGUUCAAAAUCAAUAUAUAAUCAAGUAAAUAUUAUACAAAAAAUAUCUUGAUGAAAAGCAUGUGAAAAGGAGGACAAAAAUACCUUAACUUCACACUUAAACCCUUACUUGAAAGUAGUUCAUUUGUGGUCGAGAAAAUCGUAGUUCAUACCUCUAUAUUUUGGUACGGAGUAAGUAAACAUUUGAAAUUUCAAAUUGAAGAGGUAUCAUGUUUUAAAAUGAUAAAACGAUCAUAAUAUUUACCAAGUAGAAAUAUAGGAGUUCAAAUGAAAAAUAUGUUUUCGAACACCCUUCGAGAGCAUCAAAGUAGUUUUCCCAUGAAAUACGCCCAACUUGACUCAAAACACAUUUCUAAAACCAUUUUAACUCACUCACAUUACAAGAAAAUAAACGGACGGUAUUUCCCUCUAAAACUUCAUUUUCUUCCUACAAACAAAUACCCAAACUUGCAAGAAUCAAACACAAUCACACAUUCGGUUUAUAAACAAUAAAACACGUCCAAUUAGGCCACACUAUCCUUCAAUUAAAGCCAAUUAGAAGCUCAAAAGCCUACCAUUAGAAAAUCCCCAAAUUAAACCCUAGAAACCGGAAUUUAUUCCCACAAGCAGAAAUUUUCCGCAAACAACCGCAAUUAACGUAUAAAGGUCCCAUUUAACACCAUUUUAAUCCAUCAAUCCAAGACCAACCCAUGACUAUCAUAUAAAAUCAGAAAAAUACUCAAUAAAUCAGAAAUUGAACCAACUUAACUUAAAACCAUGAAAUCAUCCACAAUAUAGCAUCUCCAACCUUUACAAACCACUAAUUAACCAAUAUUAGCACCAAAAGAGAAUUUCUUAACAACUCACCUUAUGAGCUCAAGAAAGGUAGAAACUUAAGACUUCCCCUCCAAAAACAACUCCACCAAGACCUCUAACCCUGCUUAGCUAGUGCUUGUAGGGAGUAGUUUGAAAAUUCAACGGUGAAAUCUCAAUAUUUGAGCAAAAAUUGAAGAUAGAAAAUGAAGAGCUUUCUUGGUUUUUCUCUCAAGCUAGCCGGUCAAGCAAGGAGCAAAAUGAAGAUAUUUUAGGCCAAAAGUAGGACAAGAAUGAAAGAAACAGCCGGUCAAAGCUGGUGACCGACUGUGACACGUCACAAUCCGGCCAGAUUCCUGGGCGGAUACAGGGCAGAGGCGAAACCAAUUUUUUUUUUUCAAAAUCCUCAAACAAUCCGGCCAAGAUCUGGCCAGAUUUGCGGCCGGAUUUGGUACCAAACAUUUUCAAGAAAAAUUUUCUUUUCUAAACUCACACGCCGUGUUCAUCCGUACUUCCAACGAAUAUAUAUAUAUAUAUAUAUAUAUAUAUAUAUAUACAUAAUCUCACGCAAAUUCAUUUGAUAUACACAACCACAUACUCACAUUUAUAAAUAAAACCUCUUUUUAAAACAAAUGGUUACCAAAUUUUCAUUUGAAACGGAAAGUGAGAAUAAAGAAAAGGUUAAGAAAACGUGAAAAUUUUUAGGGUUCUCACAUUGUCACUACGAACUUACUAGUCCGGAGUUUACUUUUGUCGAAAUGGGAAGGAAAAUUGGGGGGCUAAGUUUUGUUCUGAACUAGACACAAAGUUCGUUAAUUACAUUUUACUUCUCUGGGAACCCAUCUCACCCCCAACUGCCAACAUUCUUUAAUUACACAGUAGUAUCAGAAUCGUGCUUUCACUUUUACGCGUCUAUAACUCUUCUGUUUUUGGACUAUAUUUCUAUAAUUAAAUGGAGUAACAUUUUAUGCCCCCUCAUAAAAAUUUGCGAGAUUCUGAUAUUUAAUAGUUUUUGCACUACAAAUUACAAAAAUCCCGCGUGGCAUUAACCAUACAAUAAUAUUACGCUAAAAAUGGGCUUGGGGAAGUUCAUGCUACAUAAAUCAUACGUUGAGAGAAGAAUGAAGAGGUUCUUGAAAGCUGUUCUUAUUUCUUGAUUAUUACUUCUUCUUUUUUUUUUUUUUUCCAUGAGUCUUUUAACUUUCAUCACUUAAGAUAAUAAGUUAUUAAGACUGGAAAUUGUUUGUUGAAUCAAUCUACCUGCAGGUUUUGAGUCUUCCCAAGUCUUCCUUUAUAGUCAUCUUCUUAUUCUUGAAUUUCACUCACAUUAUUUUCUUGUCACUUGUAAAGGAGUCUUCCCACGUCUUUCGUUUGCCGUCGUCUUCUUUUUAUUUUUCUUUUUCACAUCGUUUCCUUUUCAGCUGUUGUCAGUUAUGUGUAAUCGCCAAUGGGAAUUGUUACCUUGGAGAGCAAGUGUCAAAAAAUAAGGAAAGUAAUAUCUUCAAAUCUUGUGAUUACGACUUUAAUAGCAUGGUACUAUAUCUGGUGGUUUUUCUCGUUUGAAUUAACUCAGAAAAAGAAAAUUAUUGACUCGUUAACUUCAUGGCUAGUCCAGUCAAGCAUGGACAAAUUUACAGAUCUUUGGGCAAACUUUGGCAUUCUUGAUUGGAUUGAAGUUUUUUUGCAGAAAAGUUUUUACAUGAUCGCAUUUCUCAAAUACCCUUUUAUUUCAUAUAUAUAAAAUUGUUAUAGUAUAUUUUUUUUUAUAAUAAUAUAAAAAAAAAGACAAUCCAAACGAGUGCAUGUGUAGACUAAUUGGCUAACUUCCUCAAAUUUUGUGUGUGUUUGAUUGGCGGAUUUGUUAUUGUAUCAAAGAGAUUCGAUGAACACAAUUAUGAAGUGUAUGGAAACGAAGCUCACGGUCAAGGACAAAAUAAUCAGUUAAUUGCAAUGAAAAUAUAGAUGACUCCACAAUAUAUACGACUCCUCCUUCACAACAAUAUUCCCUUGAGUCCUACUCUUUGUGUAAAUAUGGCUGCAAACGAAUUCAGCCACUUGCGAGUAGUUCAAGCCAAAACUCGACCCGAGUUUGGUUAACGAACUGAUCAAAUCGAACUCGAACUUAAAGAAACUCAAUUCGUCAACUCGCAAGUUGACUCGAAUAUAUAUAUAUAUAUAUAAAUUAUAUAUAUAAUUUUAAUAGUAAAAUUAUAAUAUAUAUAUAUAUAUAUAUAAGUUCUUAAUAUUUUAUUAUUUGUUAUGAAAAAUUAUUAUUUUAUUCAUUUAUUAAAAAAUAAAAUAAUUAUUUUUUUAUUUUUUUUAUCUCAAGCACAAACUUUACAUUGAGAACUCGAGCUCGAAUUCGAGUUUGAUAAAACUAAAUCGAGACUCGAUUCGAUUAGGUCAAAAUUCGAUUCGACUCAACUUGUUUGCAAAUAAGUUGUUAUCAGAUAAGUUGAUAAAACCAGUCAUUAGAUAGUUAAAUAAGUUGUAAAAGAUUGCUCACAGUGUAAUAGUUCAAGAAUGCCUUUCAAUCAGAAAAAAAGUAAAAUUAUUUAUGUUUCAACCCUUCUUUCAACUUGCUUCUGGUACAAAACAACAAAUAGAAGUUAUUGAGAGCAAGAGAAUGAGAGUGGGGGAAUCAACUCCAUUAUCUUAGACCAAUGGCUUCUUGGACUAUUGGCCAUCACAAAGGCUUCUCAAUUCCUUUUGAGGUGGGAGUUCAAGGUUUUGAACCUUGCUCCUAUCAUUUGUCAUUCUAUGUGACUUCGCCAAAUUCAGUCGGUGUCGGUUUAGUUUUCUCUGGUUCUUAAUGACCUAGUUGAAUCUAUUCCCAUUUUCAUAGAGUAGAAGUAAGUGUAGAUUGUUGACGUUUGUAUGGGAAAAGAAAAAAAAAAAAAAAAAAACCUCCGUUAACUUAAGAUGGGGAUUUGGGGAUUGGGUAGAUAAGUCCCGAAUUUGGCCUCAGGAGUUACCACUAUGGCUUUUGAGGUUAAUUUGGGAUUAGGUUUAACUACUAAUUCUUAAAAUUUCUGAUAAAAAAAAACUUAAGAUGCCCAUUGUAUUGGGCUAACCCAGAGCUUAGACCAAAAACAUUUUCGUGGACUAUAUGUUUAUAUGUACGUCAAUUUCGGACUCCUGCUCCAGUUAAAAGCAUCCCAAUCCUGAGCAGAGGUGCAUUUACUUCGAGACAUUUGUAAAUGGGAACUUUGGAAGACUGGGACAAUGGGCACACAAGGAAACUUGAAGUCCUUAUGAUCAUCUAAUCAGUGCUCCUUAACGAACAGGAGAGUUCAAUCCGGAACCUUAUGAUCAUCUAAUCAAUGCUCCUAAGUCCUAUCCGAUUAACAAAGUUCUUCUCAGAAAGAAAGAAAAUUCAUCAUAACAACUGGAUUGGGCUCCUCUCUAGUACUCAUUCCUUCUAGUUUUCCUUAUCCAUCGUUUGGUACACAGAAAUAUCCAAAAUGUUAACGACUCACAAGAAUCCGCAGCAAUUUCCUUGAUUGUAAAUUAACCUUGACGACAAUAAAGAUGUGAAUUAAUGACUUGCAAGAAUCUGCAGCAAUUUCCUGAAUUGCAAAUUUACCUUGAUGACAGCAGAGAUAACAUGUCAUGUCAAACUAAAGCAGCGUACAACAGUAAGGAUUGAGAUCCUCUACCGUCAAAUUAGUAAAUGCAAAGUGCCGUUAAAGGUAGGAAAUGGGGUAUUUUGAAAUUGAAUGGAGGAGAUUAAAGGUCAAACGCUAAUUUUAAUGUGUCAAAAAAGUUUGUUGUGUUUUUUCACUUUAUUGUAUUAUCGUUCAUAUUUAUUAUGUUAGUAUCUACAUCAAUUAUGUCAUUAUUGUCCGCACUGUCUUCAAUACCAAUGACAGCAGAACCCCCUAAAAACAUGCUUGAAUAUCAGCCAAUAUUCAGGCCCCAUAUCAUAUGCAUGUGUAUCAGCUUGUAUAGCAUAAAAAUUUAAGAAGUCUUACAGUAACCAGCACAACAAUCAUAAAUUUAAAAAAAGCAAUGAAGAAAAAGAACAAAACCAACAAAAGGGCUCCCAUUGCAAUCGAAAACAUGACCGAAAAGGCUUAAAGAAGGAAUGAAUCAGGGAAAAGAAGAAUGAGUGAUAGUAUUAUUAGCUGACCAGAAUUGAACUUAGAGUAGUUAUCAGUUACUGGUCUGCGGCUGAUGAAGAGUAGACAAGAUUUUACGAGAGGGGCAGGGAAUCCCUUAUCAGCUAUGACACGGGUUGGAAAGAUAGGACUGAAUGGGAAGUUGCGGACAACAAAUCCAGUCACAUUUUAGUAUUGGAAUCCAAACACAUCCUGGAGGAAGUUUUUUAAUGCUAGCACGAAUGCUCCACUCAUGUUUUAUUGUAAACAAAUAGCAAAUUAAAAAAAAAAAAAAAAACAAAGCAAUAGUACUUUUACGAUUUUUCAAUGGCCAAGUAAACAAAGGUAUUAUGACAUUCAAUCAGCAUAAGCAGCAAUUUUGUCCAUUAUCUCUGCAACAAUCUCUUAGACUCCCUCAGCAACUUGAUGCUUGCAUUCAUCUGUAACGUUUACCAGCAAUAGAUGGAGAUUCCUCCAGCAUCCGUUCCAAUGCACCCCUGUGAGUUCCCAUUAACUCAUUCACCAUUUCGGUUUCCAUGUCUUUGUUCACCAGAUUUUGGAUGCUGAAAGAGUAAAUGCAAAGCCAUGCUAUCAACAACUCCUCAGGACAAUCUUCCAAUAAGCAGUCAUCCUCAUUUUCAGAUCAAAAGCUUGUUGUGCAACGACCAGAUGAUUUCUCAGAUGCCCGACUUCAACCUCACCAAUUCCAUCAAUCUCUAGAGUUGUUGAUUUCGUACAAUCAUUCAUAGAUCAUGAACCUGAACCUGUCCUGGCUUUCAUCAGAUCAUGCCAGGUUGCAGAGUACUCAGGAUUACAAGUAUAAUCAGGUGAGUUUUUCUCCAUUUCGAUAAUCUGCAAUACCCAAUCAACUGACUGCUCCUUUUUUGGAAACAAGACUUUGGGCAGCUCUUCUGAUUGAAGGUUGAAGUUGUGGGUAGUUGUCAGAGUGCUUCAUCAAGACAGAACUAACACCCCUUGUAAAUACUCCCAAAACUUGUUCACAAAUCCUGCUGGUGUAGCGGAAAUGGCCUGACCAUUUUUUGUAGUGAAGUGAGAAAAGCUGUGCGAUGAAGGAAAUUAGGUAAGCUUAUACCUUUAGCUUCCUCCAGGAUGCUAAUCUCUUCCUCCAAGAACUUCUGCUUUUGUUCAACUUUGAUAGAGAUGAACUGCAAAUCCCAUAGUAAUCGCUCAGCAUCUCUGCCAGUCUAGCAGUACAAUGCAUUUCUUUUUCAUCUGGAUACUCAUCGAAUUCCCCUCUGAUAAAUAUUUUUCUCAGUGACUCUUUGGCUGAAGAUAUGAUACGCAUAAAAGCAGUGACUGCUUCAGGAACUGAGUGCAACUGUUGUGGCAACUUGUUCAGCUCUGCAACACUUGCAGUUAGCUUGUCAUUGAUCUUUCUCACAAUAUCUGGCAAGCAUUUUGAAAUUAUAGUUGCCUGAAUUUGCACCAGUUUCUGGGCUAAAACAGGAAUGCCAACCAUAGACUUGUGGAUCUUGGACAGCAACGGAUGUGUUUCAAAAAGCGUAGCUUCUACAGCUCGAGCUUCCUCGUAUGAUUCAUCUCCAAUUCGAUUUCUCACACAGACGUAUCCAAGUUCAAUAUUCACAUCAUCAGCCGUUACCUUCUCGAGCAAGCCUUCAGGGGAUUUGUCUGCCUUGGUGACAACUGCCAGAGUUCUUUCACCCAUUUUGUCAACUUUUUGGGACAUCCGAAUUGAUUCACAAGUAGAAAAAUCAACAGUAGCUGAUAAAACAUUGAGUAUUAUGCUUUCUUCUGGUUUAAUAUACUCCAUAAUGAUUGCUGAUAUUUGCUCAUAGAUGUCUUCAGGCUGCCCGUGAACUGGAACUCUAGUAAUCCCAGGUAAAUCCACCAUAGUAAGAUCAGGGACCCCAUUCUUCUUAACAAUCAAAGUCAGGGGAACAUUUGAUAUUCCCUUGCUUCUGCCAGCAAUCUCAUCAGUUGCAACGCUGAUGGCCUGAGCAAUAUGGUCCUCAUCGGUUGGAACAACUCUUCCGUUAAACUCCAAGCUCACCUCUGGCUUGGGACUGGGAUGACUUUGCAGCCUCAUAAUCAAGGGAACCCUUGUGCAGAUCCCUUGCCCUCUAGGUAGGCUAAUGCCAGCCAGUGACUCUAGAACGCUAGACUUUCCUGAAGAUUGAUCUCAACAACAACAAUUGUUGGAAGCUGGAUUCCUUCUUGCAUGACUUUAAGGUUUCGUAGCCUGUCUAUGCAGUCCAGCAAUGGCCUAAUGCGUUCAUUGUAGGAUGAUACGAUGGGGCUAGCGUUUCUUCUUGAACAGCUUGAACGAGGUCUUUGAUCAUGGACAGCUCGAACGAGUUCUUUGGUGAUUUCUUCAGAAACAACAUUGGAGCCGCUGCUUAGUACACUCAUGUGUAAUUUCUCGUGGUUGUUGGUUUUGAGUGUUUCUAUUAUAUUGUCGCUGGUAAAAAGAUUCGGAACUUGGAAGGGAAAAAGGAGAUGAAAGAGCAAGAGAUUUUCAGAUUUGGUGAUAGGAAAUUUGGAUUUGUGGAUACUUUAUAGGUGAUUUUUUAUGUUGAUCUCAGUACCAUCUCUUUUCUUGGAUGAAAUACGGUGUUCCAAGAAUUGAGAUAGAAAUACGAAAUCUAUGAAAUUAGUUAAAUGAUCAACCAAGCAAAACAAUAGCAUCUUUUGAAGUAGUUAACUCCAAGGUAAAUCAGCACAGAUUCCUUAACUCGCUCUGCAGGGUGGAAAGCUGAUGCUUGACUUGCUUUUCUCUCAUCCUUUGCCAACUGGAAAGUAAAAGUUCAUCGAAAAUCAGCUAUAACCCUUCGAUUGAUCAGCAGACUAAUUAGCAGUGUAAGAUAGAAUUACUUUGUUAUAUCAUACCCAAAUUAAUCGUGACAAUCAAAAGACUUGGGAGGUCAUUAAAUUGUUCUUUUCCUUCAACUUUACGUCAUACUUGUGCUUCACCAUUUGCGUCAUGGGAUCCAAUAAUGAGUGUACUAUUGUUAAUUUAUUAUUCCUUCUGGUGGAAAUUGGAAACAAGCUAGUGGGAUCAAUUGACUUCUUUUCUUUGGCCAUGACAAAGGAAAAUGUUCGAUCUUACAAAGGUAGGCAAACAUGGAAAAAGCUUGCACCCCCGCUCUUUCGCCUCACAAUCCAAGUAGCUAUCACCAUUUAGGGGGAAUUAUUUGACAGUCUUUUGUGUUUGAAUUGAUUUUUCUGAAUUUUGUAAAAAAAUUAUUGUAACGAUUUGAUAAGUGUGAAAUAAAAAGGUGAUUCGGAAUUGUGUUUACGGAACCCCACAAUCCAAAGUAGCUAUCACGUUUAGGGUGAAUUAUUUGACAGUCAUUUUGUGUUUGGAUUGCAUUUUUCUGAAUUUUUUAUAGAAAAAUUAUUGUAACGAUUUGAUAUAUAUGAGAUAAAAGGUGAUUCGGAAUUGUGUUCACGGAAAACAUUCUAAUGCAAUCAUUCACGGAAUUGUGUUCACGCAAUUUUUCCAAACAUUCUAAUGCAAUUAAGAUUAAUGUGAAGAAUCCUAUUCCUAGGCUGUAAGAACUAAGAAGACCGAAAAACAUAAUGCAUAAAAUAGUCAAUUGUUUUCUAACGCAAUUAUAUUGUAUUCUUUACGUUAGCUGAAGAAUGAAGAGGUUUUUAACAUUAACAAUUGUGCUUAUUUCUUCUUUCUUCACGAGUCUUUUAACUUUCACUUAUGAUAAGUUAGAGGAAAAAUGGCCAAUUUUGUCCUUAAUUUUUUUAAGGGUGCUAAUUUAGUCCCUAACUUUUAUUUCUGAUCAAUAUGAUAUUUGAACUUAUGGUGCAUCACUAGUUAAAAACGAUCUUACUUCUCAUUGGCUAAUUAAAUAGUGGUAUUACGAGAACAUUACUCACGAGAAUGUAAUAAAACAAGCAAAUCGUCUAAAAAAUCACUAAUAAAACUUUUAAAUUGUGUAAAAAAAUCACCAAAUAAACUUUUUAAAGUUUAAUCUUGUGACUUUUUACUAUACAGUUUCGUAAGUGACGUUUUCAAAAUAUCUUCUUUAGUUGGUCAAUUAGGAGUCAGAUUGGUUUUAGGUGGCACCGCCACCAUGAAGGUCCUUAAUUGGAACUGCAAUUAAGUUCGCAUAUUAAAUUGAUUAGAAAUAAAAGUUAGAAACUAGACGGCACUAGUAAAAAGUUUAGAACGAAAUUGGUCAUUUUCCCUAAAAGAUAAGACUGGAACAUAUUUGUUGAAUCAGUCCAGCUAUGUGUAAGUUUCAAGUCUUCCCAAGUCUUCAAUAGUAAUGUGAUUACGACUAAAUAGCAUAGUACCUAUAUCUAGUGGUUUUCUUGAUUGAAUUAACUCAGAGAAAGAAAACUAUAAUAUUGUCUCAUUACAUUAACUACAUGGCUAGUCUAGCCAAGCAUGGCAAAUUACAGAUCUUCGGGCAAACUUUGGCAAUUUAAAAGGUCUUGUUUAUAUUGAAGAUUUUUUGUAGAAAAAUUUUUACGUUUUUCGUGAUUUCAUUUUUCGGAUACUUUUUUAUCUCGCAUACAUCAAAUUGUUAUAGUAUAUUUUUUGCUUAAAAUUCAAAAAAUGAUGAUCUAAACGAGACCUAAGUAUGUGUAUAGACUAAUUGGCUAACUUCUUCAAAAUUUUUGUGUACUUGAUUUGGCGGAUUUAUUAUUCUAUCAAAGAGAUUCGAUGAACACGAUUAUGAUGUGCAUGGACACGAAGCUCACGAUCAAGGCUAAAUAAUCAGUUAAUUGCAACGAAAAUGUAGAUGUCUCUACAAUAUAUAUACACUAUUUCUUUACAACAUUAAUAUUCCCUUGAGUCCUACCCUUGUGUAAUACUAGUAUUAGUUUUGUGAACCAAUGUAAAAAAAAAAAAAACAAUAUAGUCAAAUAUCCUCUAGUAUUAGUUUCGCUUGAACAAUAGUCGUUUCUCUUACCCAAACAAGAGGACUAUAUAAUCCUAAUAUUCUAACAAUGAGAAAUAAAUUACUCCCUCCGUCUCAAUUAUUUUGUCAUGUUUCGAGAAUCCAAUAUUCUAAAAAUAGUGAUUUAAUUAUGAUGCUUGUAUUUUUUUUCUCAAUUUUACUCCCACAAAUUCAAAAUAUGAAUUUGAAUAAUAAUAUGUAUAUGCUUAAAGGGAGGAACUAUAUUGGAAGUAGAGACUAAAUAAUGUUUUAACUUUCUGAACAUUACAAAUACUUUGAGACAUUCCAAAAUGAAAAAUAUGACAUUUCUACGAAACGGAUGGAGUAAUUCGUACCGAACAAAAAGUCUAGCCAAAAUAUCCAAUACAUGAUGUGAUAGCUCAAUCUUCCUUAGGGCGUACGCUAAGGUUAGCGGAUUGUCUGCUCAACUCUCGUCAGGAUUAACUAAUCCAAAAUUUUCAGUAGGUAUUAAAACAAACAACAUAAUUUCAAAACACCGCAACCUAAAGUUAUAUACAAUUCAAGCUUAAAAUACAAGUUAAAAUAUUUAAUUUUAUACAAAUACAUAUAAGGUUUAUUAAUACAGAAGAGUUUAAACAAAAUGUCUAAGGUUUAAACCUAGCUCAACUCUUUCCCAAAAUCACCAACCCAAAUCUUUGCCCCUGAAAGGAAAACAAGGAUAACGGAAUGAGCUUUCGCCAAUGUGAUACCACAGGUUACGCAAUCAAAAAUCACAUAAUUCGAACUUUAAACUAUCAAAUAUAAGCACCAAUUAGGGAGAUAAGUAAACACCACAACUAACACAAAGUGCUUCAAAUAAAAAGAUACAGUUGGCUCUCAGGAGCCAAAUUCUCAAUCGCAUUAGUUUGAUCCAAAUCCGUUGACACUCCGUCAACGUUUACAGAAACAGAAAUAUUGACCGUAGAUCCCUGCUUUACACCAGUUUCCGUCUACCAAUCAUACCGUUACCUGGUCCAAACACCAAACAGAAACAGUGGUGGUAAUAUUCGAGUAUAUCAAAUAUCAGAAGAAUUCAAACUCUGAUACCACCUAUGACGACCCCACCUUCCCCUAGGACGUGGCCUAGAGGUUAGCGAACCACCUGCCCAACUCUUGCCAAGACUCACUCACUAACAUUAAUUUCAGAGAUCACAUUAACUCCAAAGUAAGCACGAAACUCUCUAAGAAAUGUUACAAAUCAUCCAACUUCAUAAAACAUCCAUACUUAGGUGGACAACUAAACAGAUCAAAAUACAAGUAGUUCAAUCAAAUCACUAAAUAUAAAUAGGAUGGCAUUUACUUAAAAUGAGGACUACAACUUUUCAACUCACUAUUUUUUGGAUAUCAAAUCAAUAACACCAUAAUUUUUCAAUAUAGCAUCUAUAAGCUACAAAUCGUCCAAAUACACAAAUCAAAGUACAAACCAAAAGAUAAGAACUUGAACAUCUAGUAUCAUAGUACAAUGUCAGCCAAAUACAAGUUUAAAAUUUCUAUUACAACUAGUACUAUUCUUGUCUCUUUCAUCCCCACACCCUGCUAAGGAAAACAAAUAAAGGGAUAAGGUAAAAAUCUAGUGAGGUUUCAAGUAUCAUGCAAGCAAAGUACCAAUCUUAGAGCAAGUAAGAAAAUGGUAACUAAAUAAAACAAUAACAAGCAACUAGGAAACAAGUAGCACUUUCAAAUCGAAGGAUACAUUUCCCUCAUAUUGGCUGCUUAACUCGUAAUCGUUGACAUUCCGUAAACCUUGGAAUACACUGUCAAGUCUAGUAGAUCACCACUUCACACCAUCUCCAACCACCGAUCAUCCGCCUUACCGAGCCAGCACGCCAAUCAAGUACAAGUGGGAUAAUACUCGAAUAUACCAAGGCCAAUAACAAGAUAUAAGACCCAUGGUUUAUCGGUCACCUUGACCAAAUCCUUACUGGCUCGAUUUGACCAACUAACCAAUGGGGAUGGGAUCCCAAAACAAGUAUAGUCGGUGAAAUAAUAACUCCAACCGGCUUUCAAGUCAUGCACGGAUAUAUCGGUUCACAAGUAAACAAGUCAACAAAAAUUCAAACAAGUUAGUUGAGUGCGAUAAAGUACACAUUCGCCUUUUCAAUAUCAAAUCAAGAUAUCUAGUAACAAGUCACAUAGUUCAAGUCAUGCAGUUGAAACACUCACCAAAAUAAAUGGACAAUCACAUCUCGAUUUUAGGAUUUUCUUAACUCACUACUGACUCUUGAAACACAUCCAAGCUAUAAUUACACUUAUCAUCUUGAUCAAAACAAGUAAAAAACACAGAAGAUCCAAUUUUAAAGUUAUCAAACGUGUAGGUUAAAAGGUAUAGGAUUUUGCAACCAAAUGCAUGAAUAUAAGUGUGAGGAUCAAAAACAACCUAAGAGGGGGGUGAAUUAGGUAGGUUGAAAAUUGGCCAAAUUAUGAGUCACUUUUUGAGUACUUGCCCUCUUUUUCUAAAAGACCACACAAUGGAGCAAUGAAUGAGAAAGCACAAGUGCUUAUGAGUAGAAGAGAUGAGCAAUUUAUUUAUCAAGAUAGAAAGUAAAAGAGAUAGAGUAUCAAGCCAAAUACCAAACUCCUCUUGAGUUUGAAUGUCACUUUAAAGAGCAAGCUUCUUCAAGUUGAUCAACUUACAACCAAUCUUUUGUGUACAAAGGAAGGAUCACUUCCUCCUUGCCCCAAGCCACACUUGGUCAAGCAAGGAAGUUUUACUAUUACUCGGAUAACCCUCACAGAGCUACACUUUAAAUGUUGUUCAGAAGAUUAAUGGCAAAGAAGUGGAUCUGUCCUUAAUUGGUAACCACAUUCACUGUUGGACGAUUUUGGCUUCAUUAAAAUCACACAUGUGAAGAGACCAAAUAAUGUACCUGCCCAUAUUAUGUCAAAAUUGGCUUUGUUUCUUGAAGAAAGUAGUGUUUGGUUUGUAAACUUUCCCAAGAUAGUAACUGAAGCUGCUCUUGCAGAUUUGGUACAAAUGAAUAUGUUUCUGUUGCUUCAAAAAAAAAAGAGCAAAUUUAAGGGAAAAAAAAACAACAACAACGACAAAGCAAUGGUACUUUUAUGAUUUAUCAAACGGCAAAGAAAACAAAGGUAUUAUGACCAAUCUAAUCAGCAUAAGCAGCAAUAUUGUCCAUUAUCUCUGCAACAAUCUCUUUAGACUCCCUCAGCAACUUGAUGCUUCUAUUCAAUCUGUAACGUUUAUCAGCAAUAGAUGGAGAUUCCUCCAGCAUCCGCUCCAAUCCACCCCCGUGAUGUCCUAUUAACUCAUUCACCAUUUUGGUUUCCAUGUCUUUGUUCACCAGCUUUUGGAUGCUGAAGAGUAAAUGCAAAGCCAUGCUAUCAACCAAC
Molecule: long non-coding RNA, 30140 nt
Filed under: Coffea arabica (coffee)
Lineage: Eukaryota; Viridiplantae; Streptophyta; Magnoliopsida; Gentianales; Rubiaceae
Description: long non-coding RNA (CARA_LNC006462)
Source: RNAcentral